CCAUAGCCCCGAUUGACUCUGUGAUUUUAUAAAAUCAGAAAAAAGCGGGGUCAAGU
RNAcentral lists this unclassified non-coding RNA (56 nucleotides) under Epilithonimonas hungarica. RNAcentral describes it as "Chryseobacterium hungaricum Flavo-1 RNA". The record is from RNAcentral. Lineage: Bacteria; Pseudomonadati; Bacteroidota; Flavobacteriia; Flavobacteriales; Weeksellaceae.